RNAcentral lists this ribosomal RNA (441 nucleotides) under uncultured bacterium. RNAcentral describes it as "partial 16S ribosomal RNA". It matches the Rfam family "Bacterial small subunit ribosomal RNA", at positions 338 to 795 of the family's 1533-position model. The record is from RNAcentral.
CCUACGGGAGGCAGCAGUGGGGAAUAUUGCACAAUGGGGGAAACCCUGAUGCAGCGACGCCACGUGAGUGAAGAAGUAUUUCGGUAUGUAAAGCUCUAUCAGCAGGGAAGAAAAAAGACGGUACCUGACUAAGAAGCCCCGGCUAACUACGUGCCAGCAGCCGCGGCAAUACGUAGGGGGCAAGCGUUAUCCGGAUUUACUGGGUGUAAAGGGAGCGUAGACGGUAUGGCAAGUCUGAAGUGAAAGCCCAGGGCUUAACCCUGGGACUGCUUUGGAAACUGUUAGACUAGAGUGCUGGAGAGGUAAGUGGAAUUCCUAGUGUAGCGGUGAAAUGCGUAGAUAUUAGGAGGAACACCAGUGGCGAAGGCGGCUUACUGGACAGUAACUGACGUUGAGGCUCGAAAGCGUGGGUAUCGAACAGGAUUAGAUACCCCAGUAGUC